This 447-nucleotide ribosomal RNA is filed under the name Boletoscapter cornutus. Its description in RNAcentral is "partial 16S ribosomal RNA". The record is from RNAcentral. Lineage: Eukaryota; Metazoa; Arthropoda; Insecta; Coleoptera; Scarabaeidae.
CAUGUCUUUUUGAUAAUAAUUUAAAGUCUGACCUGCCCAAUGAAUUAGUUUAAAUGGCCGCGGUAUUUUGACCGUGCAAAGGUAGCAUAAUAAUUAGUUUCUUAAUUAGGAACUGGAAUGAAUGGUUGGACGAGAAAAAAACUGUCUCAAUUUAAUUUAAAUUAGAAUUUUAUUUUUAAGUAAAAAAGCUUAAAUAAUUUUAAAAGACGAGAAGACCCUAUAGAGUUUAAUAUUUUAAUUUAUGUAUAAAAGUUUAAGAAUAAAAAAUUUAUUUAUAAGUUAAAAUAUUUAAUUGGGGUGAUUGAAAAAUUUAAAGAACUUUUUUUAUUAUUAUUACAUUAAUUUAUGAGUAAAUGAUCCAUAUAUUAUGAUUAUAAGAUUAAAUUACCUUAGGGAUAACAGCGUUAUUUUUUUUGAGAGUUCUUAUUGAAAAAAAAGUUUGCGACC